This 3983-nucleotide long non-coding RNA is filed under the name Sorghum bicolor (sorghum). Its description in RNAcentral is "long non-coding RNA (SBIC_LNC007732)". Lineage: Eukaryota; Viridiplantae; Streptophyta; Magnoliopsida; Poales; Poaceae. The record is from RNAcentral.
CAGCUAAUAAAUAAAAUCAACCUACUAAGGCCCAAGGGUUUGGGGAAGUCCGCCGUCCAAAGCCCAAAACAACCGCAUGCACUGUGCUGCAGGUUAAGCUUUCGAUGGCCCAUUGAAAGAAAAUAAGAUCACCUUUCUGGCUAUGAGAUUCACGGCCCAUAUUAUUUGUGGACCUUACAAGGUCUGUCGUGUCUUUAUCGCAAACAACUCUGUCGGGCCGGUAGAAAGCUGUCCAGUCAAGCCUCGGGCUCGUGCUGCAAGGGAAUCGGACAUGCUUUAUUAUUUUUGUAUAUCUUGGUAUUAUUUAGUUGCUAUUUGGAUGGGGGUCUGUCUAUUCAUGUGGCGACAGAUUUUUCAAAUAGAAAUCUGUCAAAUUUUUGACAAAUCUAAAGCUAAACUUGUAACACAAAAAAAAUAACAGUUUUGCAAUAAAAAAAUAUGUCAGAUUUUACAAAACCCGUUAGUACUAGCAUAAAAUAUCCAAAACCCAACAACAGUCAACUACAACUACAUCGUCGCAUAAAGUUAGUCUCAUUUACAUAGAACUUCAGAGGCAUAAGGAAAACCUAUCCUUGAAACCCCAGUUUAAAAGCUAAAUUGUGGCAAGUACACAAAAUAGAGAGAGAGAGAGAGCGCAAACACACACCCACACAUAGACACACACCCACACACUCACACUCUGCUUUCCAGUAGCAACAGCAAGCACCGAAAAGACCCUAAACCACACACAACCAAACACAAACAGACACAAACAAAGAGAGAGAGAGAGAAAAUAAAAUCACAAAGAGAAAGAAAUGCACAAACAAAAACACCAAAAAUAGAAAAGCACCCGCAGAGACUAAAAAAUAUACACUUCAAAUAUUAGGCAUAACCAAAAAACAACAAAAAAAGCAAAACACACAAAAUCUCCACACCCAAACCUACAAACACACACAAAAUCACCAACACACACAUACACAGAUCCACAAACACACACACACACACACACACAUCCACCCACACAGUCACAGAGAGAGAGAGAGACCCACAAACACACACAUACACAGACCUAAAAAAACAGAGAAAAAACCAAACACACACAGAUAGAAAGAGACAAAAAAAUGCACAAAACAAAAAAAACUAAAAAUAACCUAAGGCAUGAUCACAUAGCACUUGCAAGCAACCGUCAGAUAUAAAACAAAAAUUAACCGAAACAACUCAAAUUCCAAGUCAAAAACAACCUAGAGAAAACUAAAUAACACACACAGAGACAAAUAGAGAGAAAGAGAGAAACCACACAAACGCUCACACACAGACCCAAACAAACACACACACACUAAAGCAUUCAAUUUUUUAUUUAUUUAUGUGAUGGAUGUCGUCUACAUCGUUUAUUUGAAGUAUCUUCAAUUCCUUGACUUCUUGUUGCAUUGUUUGCAGCCAUGUCUUUGGAGAAUUCAAAUAACAAGGGCAAGGCUGUGGUCAAGGAGGAGGAGGUCUCUCCGGUGACGCCAGUGGAGCCGAAACCCUUUGCUAUCAUGUCUAAUCAGGACGUCAAGGCGGAGAAGGAGGAUGUCUCUCUGCCGAUGCUGGAGACCGCAGCUCCUCAUCAUCACCAGACGCCGCAGUCGAUUGAUGUCUCUGACAUUGACGACGACAACAACAACGACGUCCUCGGGGGGACAAGCGGCGUCCAGGAUGUGGGGUCGUCGUUGGCGGCGGCGGCCGCCGCCCACAUGAUGCAACAAGCAGCCAUGCAGUGGGGCACAGUUGAUAGCCUAAAAUAGCUUGAAAAAAAUUAUACCGCUAUUUGCGUUCAUACACAAUUUUACCACUAAAGUACGCUAAUUAUGGUUUAUAAAAUGCUAAACACUUUGGCCUUAGCUCGCUAUUUAAAACAUGGCCACACACAGAGAGAGACCCACAAACACACAUACACAGACCAAAAAAACAGAGAAAAAACAAAACACACACAGACAGAAAGAGACAAAAAAAAUGCACAAAACAAAAAAACUAAAAAUAACCUAAGGCAUGAUCACAUAGAACUUGCAAGCAACCGUCAGAAUAAAACAAAAAAUAACCGAAACAACUCAAAUUCCAAGUCAAAAACAACCUAUAGAAAAAACUAAAUAACAAACACAGAGACAAAUAGAGAGAAAGAGAGAAACCACACAAAUGCUCACACAGACCCAAACAAACACACACACUAAAGCAUUCAAUUUUUUAUUUAUUUAUGUGAUGGAUGUCGUCUACAUCGUUUAUUUGAAGUAUCUUCAAUUCCUUGACUUCUUGUUGCAUUGUUUGCAGCCAUGUCUUUGGAGAAUUCAAAUAACAAGGGCAAGGUUGUGGUCAAGGAGGAGGAGGUCUCUCCGGUGACGCCAGUGGAGCCGAAACCCUUUGCUGUCAUGUCUAAUCAGGACGUCAAGGCGGAGAAGGAGGAUGUCUCUCUGCCGAUGCUGGAGACCGCAGCUCCUCAUCAUCACCAGACGCCGCAGUCGAUUGAUGUCUCUGACAUUGACGACGACAACAACAACGACGUCCUCGGGGGGACAAGCGGCGUCCAGGAUGUGGGGUCGUCGUUGGCGGCGGCGGCCGCCGCCCACAUGAUGCAACAAGCAGCCAUGCAGUGGGGCACAGUUGAUAGCCUAAAAUAGCUUGAAAAAAAUUAUACCGCUAUUUGCGUUCAUACACAAUUUUACCACCAAAGUACGCUAAUUAUGGUUUAUAAAAUGCUAAACACUUUGGCCUUAGCUCGCUAUUUAAAACAUGGCCACACACACAGAGAGAGACCCAAAAACACACAUACACAGACUAAAAAAACAGAGAAAAAACAAAACACACACAGACAGAAAGAGACAAAAACAAUGCACAAAACAAAAAAAAAACUAAAAAUAAUCUAAGGCAUGAUCACAUAGAACUUGCAAGCAACCGUCAGAAUAAAACAAAAAAUAACCGAAACAACUCAAAUUCCAAGUCAAAAACAACCUAUAGAAAAAACUAAAUAACAAACACAGAGACAAAUAGAGAGAAAGAGAGAAACCACACAAACGCUCACACACAGACCCAAACAAACACACACACACAAUAAAACAAACACAAACAGAGACACACUCACACUCACACAGAAUGGCCUACCACAUCCAAAAAAAAUGAAAGCUAAAUUGUGCCUACACACAAAAUCACCAACAACAGAAAUACAGAAAUGCUAGAAAAAAAAUGAAAAUAGAAAGGAAAAUAAAAAAACAAAACCACACAUCACCACAAUGCACCCAGGCACAAAAACUUGCAUUGCAUUAUAGGCAUCUGUUCUAACUUCUGUAAUCUUCUCCGACGAUCCUGACCAAACCAUAUUUAGAGCUUGAGAGCUAGCUCGAUCAUUUCUCUAGCAUGAAUGUGUGUCAAUUUCCAAUUCCGUGCAUACUCUCUUAGGCCAGUCUCAAUGCAUGUUUCAUGAGAGUGUCAUGCACAUUAAAUAGUGUGCCACAUAAGCAAAAAUGCUGACUUGGCAGGGUCAUGAAAUGAAGGAGUUUCAUCAGAUGAGAGAGGAGUUUCAUCCCCAUGAAACUCCUAUGGCUCGGUUACCUAGUUUGUAGUCUUGAUAAUUGUGUCAUGAAACUAUGCAUUGAGACUGGCCUUAUGAUCAAUUAAAUACUCCUACUCAUGAAGGUGUUGUUAAUUAACACAAAGAAAGGAGCUGAAAUUAAUCCUAGCCAGUAACAAGCAUAGAGUCUGUUCUUAUUUCCUGCUUCUGUCAGGCACCCAAAUGCACUGGUUAUCUCAUACUGUCAAAAAUAUUCAGUAGGAAGCGCUGCAUCUGCAUGUGGUGGAGAUCAAUCGAACACAACAAUCAUAGGUUUUCGUUGGAACAUGCACACAUUACAGACUGCAGAAAAUGCUCUUACAGCUCCAACACACAAUUUUGGUCAAGAACCGAACAUUCAAUCGCUGCCUCCAAAUAGCUAGUUGCAAACAAAGGUUGGAUUCCAUCACUAAAAAGAGAGCGCGCG